Long non-coding RNA from Bos mutus (wild yak), 1759 nucleotides. The record is from Ensembl. Lineage: Eukaryota; Metazoa; Chordata; Mammalia; Artiodactyla; Bovidae.
CUAUAACAUAAAUUUCAGUUGACUUGUCAACAAGCUAAAGAUAUUGUAUCUCAUUGUCCUUCCUGUCAACAAGUUAAUUCUACUCCGACAUUGCCCGAAGGUGUUAACCCACAGGGAUUAUUUCCCAAUGAUAUUUGGCAAACUGAUGUAACACAUUUGGCAAUGCUGGAGUAGUCCAUGGGUCUAUUGACACUUAUUUUGGAAUAUGUACAUCACAUCAUACAGGACAAACUGCAAAUCAGUGGGUCUCUCACUUCAAACAAGCUUUGCUCACAUGGGACUCCCUAAACAUAAAAAAUUGGACAAAUAAUCAAACUGCUAAUGAUUUGCUUUCUAAAAAAGUAACCUUACAACAAACUCAACAAGUCUUACGGAAAGACAAUAAGAGUUGGAAAAGGGGAUUUUACUUAAACAAGGAUGAGGUUAUGCUCUUAUUUUAACAGAAGAAGUUGAACAUCGGUGGAUCCCAAAAUGAAAAAUCCGGCCCUGGAAAGAAGAGGACCUACUUUGAUAUAGACCCACUGUUUGACCCCCCGGCUUGGAGCCAUGUCACUGCUGAUCCUUAAUCCUGGACUAUCUCUAUCAAAAAUAACCCAAGAAGCACCUUUGCCAACUUGGGGACAGAUAGAGAAACUAUCUCUAGAGGCAGAGAAGAUGGUACAUAGAAGAAGACUGCCAGAAACACCAGACAACCUGUUCUUGGCUAUGGUCACUUUGCUGACCAUGGCGACUGGAGAAGAACAAUCAAGAGACAACUAAGCCAACAACAGCAACUAGCAUUUCUCACCAUUUCUCAUCAUGUGGAAAAUCAAAAAGGGGGAGAUGUAGGAGACAGGAAGAAUAGAAGAAAAGCAGACCCCGGUGAGGGCCACAGAAGGAAUUUAUAAUUAUUGAUAAACUGGAUGCUUUAAGGCAUGGGACUCUUGGAAUAAGUCCAGAGGGAACAGUUCAUAAUCUUGAAAACAAGAUAUGAUCCUGGGGACGGGAAACCAACCCCAGACUGUUUCCCAACUGGCCUCUCAGAGUCAUAUGUUUUUCGUAUCUGGAGGAAAUCUAUAGAUAAGAAUAUUAGUCUUAGUUACUGAUUUGUUACUGAUUACUGUUUCUUGUUUACCGAAAGGUUAAUGAUCACUUUGUUCUUUGCCCUGAAGGCCACAUGAGUUAUUGCUUAAGCCCCUGCACAUCCCUUCCUUCGCGGCUGAGAGUAUAGCAAAGCCGGCACGGAUUCAGUUUCGGCACCUUCACCUGGGAGCGGUGUUGGUCCCCUGAUCCUCGCCUUUCACUGAACUCUUGUGUCUUGUUUCUCAUUCUCCCGCCCGCAUCACACUUUCGGAAACCCUGCUUGUGGAGCCGGACUCAACAGACUAUAAAGAAAGCUGAGCGCUGAAGAAUUGAUUCUUUUGAACUGUGAUAUUGGAGUAGACUCUUGAGAAUCCCUCGGACUGCAAGGAGAUCCAACCAGUCCAUCCUAAAAGAAAUCAGUCUUGAAUGUUCAUUGGAAGGACUGAUGCUGAAGCUUAAACUCCAAUACUUUGGCCAUCUGAUGCAAAGAACUGACUCGUUGGAAAAGACCCUGAUGCUGGGAAAGAUUCAAGGCGGGAGGAGAAGGGGAGGACAGAGGAUGAGAUAGUUGGAUGGCAUCAUCGACUCAAUGGGCAGGAGUUUCAGUAAACUCCAGGAGUUGGUGAUGGACAGGGAGGCCUGGCUUGCUGCAGUCCAUGGGGUCGCAAAGAGUAGGACACGACUGAGCGACUGAACU